GACGAACGCUGGCGGCGUGCUUAACACAUGCAAGUCGAGCGGUAAGGCCCUUUCGGGGGUACACGAGCGGCGAACGGGUGAGUAACACGUGGGUGACCUGCCCUUAGCUCUGGGAUAAGCCUGGGAAACUGGGUCUAAUACCGGAUAUGACUCCAUGACGCAUGUUGUGGGGUGGAAAGCCUUGUGCGGCUAGGGAUGGGCCCGCGGCCUAUCAGCUUGUUGGUGGGGUGAUGGCCUACCAAGGGCGACGACGGGUAGCCGGCCUGAGAGGGCGACCGGCCACACUGGGACUGAGACACGGCCCAGACUCCUACGGGAGGCAGCAGUGGGGAAUCUUGCGCAAUGGGCGAAAGCCUGACGCAGCGACGCCGCGUGAGGGAUGACGGCCU
RNAcentral lists this ribosomal RNA (389 nucleotides) under uncultured bacterium. Its description in RNAcentral is "bacterial SSU rRNA". It matches the Rfam family "Bacterial small subunit ribosomal RNA", at positions 28 to 417 of the family's 1533-position model. The record is from RNAcentral.